CCUACGGGUGGCAGCAGUGAGGAAUAUUGGUCAAUGGACGCAAGUCUGAACCAGCCACGUAGCGUGAAGGAUGACUGGCCUAUGCGUUGUAAACUUCUUUUAUAAAGGAAUAAAACGAGGCACGUGUGCCUUUUUGCAUGUCCUUUAUGAAUACGGAUCGGCGAACUCCGUGCCAGCAGCAGCGGUAAUCCGGAGGGGCCGGGCGUUAACCGGAUUUAUUGGGUUAAAAGGGAGCGUAGAGGGGUUGUUAGGUCAGUUGUGAAAGUUUGCGGCUAAACCGUAAAAUUGCAAUUGAUAAUGGUAGUCGUGAGUACAGUGGAGGUAGGCGGAAUUCGGGGUGUAGCGGGGAAAUGCUUAGAGUCAACGAAGAACCCGGAGUGUGAAGGCAGCUUACUAAACUGUGACUGAGAUUGAUGCUCGAAAGUGUGGGUAUCAAACAGGAUUAGUUACCCUGUAGUC
This 459-nucleotide ribosomal RNA is filed under the name uncultured bacterium. RNAcentral's name for it is "partial 16S ribosomal RNA". It matches the Rfam family "Bacterial small subunit ribosomal RNA", at positions 338 to 795 of the family's 1533-position model. The record is from RNAcentral.